CUCGGGAAAACACAGAACUUGAUCACCUACCAGAAUUCAAGCUCCAUAGGACCUUGUUUCCUGCUGUCGCCUCAGCAUCUAGAGCAGCAUCUGACUCCUGCUCAGCCUCCACUGGCCCUACUUACAAUGAUGUCCUUCAGUUUUCGUUUGGAGAUGCAUCCAUCCAUCCCUCCCUCCCUCCCUCCCUCCUUCCCAGACCCUGUGGGUCCAGAGAAAUUCACUUCCAUUCCAGAUGCACGAAGAGCUGGCUCAUGGGAUCCUUGCAUUCAUGUGGCCCCAGAGACUUUUUUGGCGAUGGCCUGUGACCUCAUCAGAACCAAGGGAAUUUGUGGCCAGAGGAGAGGACUCUUCCUGAGGGGUGAGACUGGAGUUGGAUCUGUGAAGAUGGAGGGGCUGGAAUUGGCUCACUCAUCCUCUCACCCACAUGGGGUUUGAAAAUGAGACCAACAAAGUGGGGGAGCUGGGGAUGGAGAAAACCCAGCUGUUGACGUUGUUGGCUGAAUCCAUCUAUACCUGAAGCUAGCUCUAUUUUGGACUUUUAACUUAC
This is a long non-coding RNA of Lagenorhynchus albirostris (white-beaked dolphin), 547 nucleotides long. RefSeq lists it as uncharacterized. The record is from RefSeq and is a predicted model, not a curated record. The transcript has 3 exons. Lineage: Eukaryota; Metazoa; Chordata; Mammalia; Artiodactyla; Delphinidae.